RNAcentral lists this ribosomal RNA (523 nucleotides) under Bacillus mycoides. Its description in RNAcentral is "bacterial SSU rRNA". It matches the Rfam family "Bacterial small subunit ribosomal RNA", at positions 363 to 895 of the family's 1533-position model. Lineage: Bacteria; Bacillati; Bacillota; Bacilli; Caryophanales; Bacillaceae. The record is from RNAcentral.
CUUCCGCAAUGGACGAAGUCUGACGGAGCACGCCGCGUGAGUGAUGAAGGCUUUCGGGUCGUAAAACUCUGUUGUUAGGGAAGAACAAGUGCUAGUUGAAUAAGCUGGCACCUUGACGGUACCUAACCAGAAAGCCACGGCUAACUACGUGCCAGCAGCCGCGGUAAUACGUAGGUGGCAAGCGUUAUCCGGAAUUAUUGGGCGUAAAGCGCGCGCAGGUGGUUUCUUANGUCUGAUGUGAAACCCCACGGCUCACCGUGGAGGGUCAUUGGAAACUGGGANACUUGAGUGCAAAAAAGAAAGUGGACUCCAUGUGUAUCGGUGAAAUGCGUAAAGAUAUGGAGNACUCCAGUGGCGAAGGCGACUUUCUGGUCUGUAACUGACNCUGAGGCGCGAAACGUGGGGAGCAAACAGGAUAAAUACCUGGUAUCCCCCCGUAACGAUGAGUGCUAAAUGUUAAGGGUUUCCCCCUUUAGUGCUGAAUUAACCCAUUANCCCCCCCCGGGGAUACGGCCCCCAGGCU